UACGUAGGGACCAAGCGUUGUUCGGAUUUACUGGGCGUAAAGGGCGCGUAGGCGGCAAUUCAAGUCAUCUGUGAAAUCUCCGGGCUUAACCCGGAACGGUCAGAUGAUACUGCUUUGCUAGAGUGCGGAAGGGGCAAUCGGAAUUCUCGGUGUAGCGGUGAAAUGCGUAGAUAUCGAGAGGAACACCUGAGGUGAAGACGGGUUGCUGGGCCGACACUGACGCUGAGGCACGAAACCGUGGGGAGCAAACAGG
Molecule: ribosomal RNA, 253 nt
Filed under: uncultured bacterium
Lineage: Bacteria
Description: partial 16S ribosomal RNA
Rfam family: Bacterial small subunit ribosomal RNA
Source: RNAcentral